CAGAGGUUGCAUGUGAGAGCUUCACAGAGAGGCUAGGCUGCUGGUCUGACUGCUGUGAGAAGGGAACUGCUGCUGAUCUUCAGAGAAGUGACAGCAGUGCCACAGGGAGAAGUGUCACAGGAAGCAGGGAAGCAGAAGCACCAAGCCAUGAAGAAAAUGCUUCCUGCAGACAUUUCCUAACUGGGACUGAAGGACUGGCUUUGUGAAGAGUCAGGGAAAUACUACUGAUGAUUACCUAUGUUGUGUGUUGUACUGGCUAUGAAGAGGCAGGGAGGAGCUGUGGACAGAUUGGUUAAUGGGAUCCACGAGAAAGGAUAAAGAAAAGGACCUCACACUGUGAGAGGGAUGAUCAUGGGUCUCAACCCAGCCUUGACCUCUGAGCUUACCAGUAAAUCUUGCCAGUGCAUUGGGAGAGAACAAGAAUGUAAUUGGGACAGGGAGAUAUGGAAGUGGAGUUGUGGGGGGAGGUGAACGAGACAGAGCUCAAGGGGAAAAAUUAAGAGAAGCUCUGGGAUUCCAAAGGUAAGGCCAGACUUCCUCUCAUAGCUGUGCUGCAAUGAAGAAGAGCAACGAGAGAAAAGAGACCAGUAGUUAAUAAAAAAUAAAUGCUACCAGAUUGUGAACAUACUGAAAUGUCAGGCACAUUGUAUUACACCAACCUAAUUGGAAAUGGAAAUACCGACAUUUGGUUAUGUGAUUCCAUCCCAAAACACAAU
Molecule: long non-coding RNA, 716 nt
Organism: Alligator sinensis (Chinese alligator)
Lineage: Eukaryota; Metazoa; Chordata; Crocodylia; Alligatoridae
Exons: 3
Source: RefSeq, a predicted model, not a curated record